This 429-nucleotide ribosomal RNA is filed under the name Verrucomicrobiota bacterium. RNAcentral describes it as "Verrucomicrobia bacterium partial 16S ribosomal RNA". It matches the Rfam family "Bacterial small subunit ribosomal RNA", at positions 355 to 776 of the family's 1533-position model. The record is from RNAcentral. Lineage: Bacteria; Pseudomonadati; Verrucomicrobiota.
UAGGGAAUCUUCCGCAAUGGACGAAAGUCUGACGGAGCAACGCCGCGUGAGUGAAGAAGGAUUUCGGUUCGUAAAACUCUGUUGUUAGGGAAGAAAAAAUGUAUAGUAACUAUAUACAAAAGAGACGGUACCUAACCAGAAAGCCACGGCUAACUACGUGCCAGCAGCCGCGGUAAUACGUAGGUGGCAAGCGUUGUCCGGAAUUAUUGGGCGUAAAGCGCGCGCAGGUGGUUUAGAAAGUCUGAUGUGAAAGCCCACGGCUCAACCGUGGAGGGUCAAUGGAAACUAAUAAACAUGAGUGCAGAAGAGAAAGGUGGAAUUCCUAGUGUAACGGUGAAAAGCGUAGAGAUUAGGUGGAAAAACGGUGGCGAAAGCGGCUUUGUGGCAUGCAACUGACACUGAGGCGCGAAAGCGUGGGGAGCAAACAGG